RNAcentral lists this ribosomal RNA (253 nucleotides) under uncultured bacterium. RNAcentral's name for it is "partial 16S ribosomal RNA". It matches the Rfam family "Bacterial small subunit ribosomal RNA", at positions 524 to 776 of the family's 1533-position model. The record is from RNAcentral.
GACAGAGGGUGCAAACGUUGUUCGGAAUUACUGGGCGUAAAGCGCGUGUAGGCGGCCAUCUAAGUCGGGCGUGAGAUCCCACGGCUCAACCGUGGAAGUGCACUCGAAACUGGAUGGCUAGAGUCCUGGAGAGGAAGGUGGAAUGCUUGGUGUAGAGGUGAAAUUCGUAGAUAUCAAGCGGAACACCGGUGGCGAAGGCGGCCUUCUGGACAGUGACUGACGCUGAGACGCGAAAGCGUGGGGAGCAAACAGG